UUUUCUUCUCUAUCUCUUUUCUCUCUCCAUAUUCAGAACUCCGGCGAUAUCUCUUUGACGAUGAGCCUCCGUUAACUUAAUCGGCGAGACGGAACCGACCAUCGAUGAUCAAUCACGUAGACAAGGUAAGAUUUUCAUAUGGUUUUGAUUUUGAUUUAAGUUUAGGGAUGGUUGAGAUAGACAAAAUUAUAGUUUUUUGAUUUGGGGAAAAAUUUAGGCAUCUUUCGUGUCGUUGAAAUUGUGGUUUUCCGAUCACUUAGAAGUCUAUGUGUGCUGUUCUUAGCCAUUAUAGAACAUGAUUUAACUGUUUACCGUAUUUGAUUCCUCAGUUAUGUGAUUGUGUUUUCCAAGUUUUUUCUUGAUUUUUAUAUGUUUAUCUGGCAAUCUGUUUAUGUGUGAAUGGUAUCAGGAUUCAGUAAUCUUCUUAUUUAUUGGUGUAUCCGUGAUUUAGCCUUGCUGUAUCCAUGAUAUCUUCGAUUGUAUUAUGUUGAUUUAUCGGUAGUGUUAAUGUGUUAUUGUUUGUACGUAAUGUAUUAGCGGUUUAGUGUCUUUUCUUCUUGCUCAUUGGUUAUAUGUUUAGUUUCAGUUCAUAUAAUUCUGUCUCUAUUGCUCACAUUGGUUUACUUUAUUGUGAGGUUAAAUGGAGGACAGGGUCUUGCUCUCAACACUUCACAUUUCCACCGAGUAGUUGAAAGGACAAUGUAAAGGACAUUUUGCCAGCAAGGUUUUGGCCAUAUACGUCUGGUUUACAAACCCGUGAUGAUAUAAAAAAAAACACGAGGGUCCAUUUAAUUUGUUUUGUUUUCUUGUUUUGUAACCCGCUAAAUUUUCUGCACUAACGAGAACCAUAUAUUACUUAUAUUGCUUGUAAGCCACAUAUGUUUUCUAUUCUCCGUAUAUAAAUGUGUUGUGUCUAA
Molecule: long non-coding RNA, 917 nt
Organism: Eutrema salsugineum
Lineage: Eukaryota; Viridiplantae; Streptophyta; Magnoliopsida; Brassicales; Brassicaceae
Exons: 2
Source: RefSeq, a predicted model, not a curated record